UGCUAUGGGUGUUCAGAGAAGAUCUCUUU
This 29-nucleotide non-coding RNA is filed under the name Rattus norvegicus (Norway rat). Lineage: Eukaryota; Metazoa; Chordata; Mammalia; Rodentia; Muridae. The record is from RNAcentral.